CCUACGGGGGGCAGCAGUGAGGAAUAUUGGUCAAUGGGCGGGAGCCUGAACCAGCCAAGCCGCGUGAGGGAAGAAGGUACAGCGUAUCGUAAACCUCUUUUGUCAGGGAACAAAGGCGGGGACUAGUCCCCGGAUGAGGGUACCUGAAGAAAAAGCAUCGGCUAACUCCGUGCCAGCAGCCGCGGUAAUACGGAGGAUGAGAGCGUUAUCCGGAUUUAUUGGGUUUAAAGGGUGCGCAGGGGGCCUGUUAAGUCAGCGGGAAAAGCCCGGGGCUCAACCCCGGCGAGCCGUUGAAACUGGCGGGCUGGAGUGGGAGAGAAGUAGGCGGAAUGCGCGGUGUAGCGGUGAAAUGCAUAGAUAUCGCGCAGAACCCCGAUUGCGAAGGCAGCGUACCGGCUCCACACUGACGCUGAGGCACGAAAGCGUGGGUAUCGAACAGGAUUAGAUACCCUUGUAGUC
This 459-nucleotide ribosomal RNA is filed under the name uncultured bacterium. RNAcentral's name for it is "partial 16S ribosomal RNA". It matches the Rfam family "Bacterial small subunit ribosomal RNA", at positions 338 to 795 of the family's 1533-position model. The record is from RNAcentral.